CCUACGGGAGGCAGCAGUGGGGAAUAUUGGACAAUGGGCGCAAGCCUGAUCCAGCAAUGCCGCGUGAGUGAAGAAGGUCUUCGGAUUGUAAAGCUCUUUUGGCGGGGACGAUGAUGACGGUACCCGCAGAAUAAGCCCCGGCUAACUUCGUGCCAGCAGCCGCGGUAAUACGAAGGGGGCUAGCGUUGCUCGGAAUGACUGGGCGUAAAGGGCGCGUAGGCGGAUUGUACAGUCAGACGUGAAAUUCCUGGGCUCAACCUGGGGGCUGCGUUUGAUACGUAUAGUCUUGAGUGAGGAAGAGGGUUGUGGAAUUCCCAGUGUAGAGGUGAAAUUCGUAGAUAUUGGGAAGAACACCGGUGGCGAAGGCGGCAACCUGGUCCUUUACUGACGCUGAGGCGCGAAAGCGUGGGGAGCAAACAGGAUUAGAUACCCCUGUAGUC
This 440-nucleotide ribosomal RNA is filed under the name uncultured bacterium. RNAcentral's name for it is "bacterial SSU rRNA". It matches the Rfam family "Bacterial small subunit ribosomal RNA", at positions 338 to 795 of the family's 1533-position model. The record is from RNAcentral.